Molecule: long non-coding RNA, 245 nt
Filed under: Elaeis guineensis (African oil palm)
Lineage: Eukaryota; Viridiplantae; Streptophyta; Magnoliopsida; Arecales; Arecaceae
Description: long non-coding RNA (EGUI_LNC038247)
Source: RNAcentral
CUCAUGACACUCACAGCAAGAUUUAUAUUGGGUCAUGUACAUAGUAUGGCAUACAUGAGACUUCUCUUAGCCAAAGCAUAAAGGAUCCAGCUCAUAUGCUGAAUCUCCUCAAAUAUAUCAGAAUAUAUCUUCUUAGAGAAUUAGUCUCAUGCCUAAAAGAUAGAAACCCUUCUAGGAGUUUUCCAUGCUGAACCCUUCAGCACCUCCUUUAUGCACAUUUUUUAUAAAAGAAUUAGCAUCCCCUU